CCAGAGACUUAGCAGAGAUGCUUUGGUGCCUUCGGGAACUCUGAGGACAGGUGCUGCAUGGCUGUCGUCAGCUCGUGUUGUGAAAUGUUGGGUUAAGUCCCGCAACGAGCGCAACCCUUAUCCUUUGUUGCCAGCGGCUCGGCCGGGAACUCAAAGGAGACUGCCGGUGAUAAACCGGAGGAAGGUGGGGAUGACGUCAAGUCAUCAUGGCCCUUACGGCCAGGGCUACACACGUGCUACAAUGGCGCAUACAAAGAGAAGCGACCUCGCGAGAGCAAGCGGACCUCAUAAAGUGCGUCGUAGUCCGGAUUGGAGUCUGCAACUCGACUCCAUGAAGUCGGAAUCGCUAGUAAUCGUAGAUCAGAAUGCUACGGUGAAUACGUUCCCGGGCCUUGUACACACCGCCCGUCACACCAUGGGAGUGGGUUGCAAAAGAAGUAGGUAGCUUAACCUUCGGGAGGGCGCUUACCACUUUGUGAUUCAUGACUGGGGUGAAGUCGUAACAAGGUAAGCGUAGCGAG
This 521-nucleotide ribosomal RNA is filed under the name uncultured bacterium. RNAcentral's name for it is "bacterial SSU rRNA". It matches the Rfam family "Bacterial small subunit ribosomal RNA", at positions 988 to 1509 of the family's 1533-position model. The record is from RNAcentral.